This 800-nucleotide ribosomal RNA is filed under the name uncultured bacterium. RNAcentral's name for it is "bacterial SSU rRNA". It matches the Rfam family "Bacterial small subunit ribosomal RNA", at positions 8 to 822 of the family's 1533-position model. The record is from RNAcentral.
AGAGUUUGAUCCUGGCUCAGAAUCAACGCUGGCGGCGUGCCUCAGACAUGCAAGUCGAACGAUUAAAGCUCUCUUCGGAGAGUGUAUAGAGUGGCGCACGGGUGAGUAACACGUAAGUAAUCUACCUUUGAGUGGGGAAUAACGUCCGGAAACGGACGCUAAUACCGCAUAAUGCAGCGGCAUCGCAAGAUGACAGUUGUUAAAGAUUUAUCGCUUGAAGAGGAGCUUGCGGCAGAUUAGCUAGUUGGUAAGGUAAUGGCUUACCAAGGCUACGAUCUGUAACCGGUCUAAGAGGACGGUCGGUCACACUGACACUGAAUAACGGGUCAGACUCCUACGGGAGGCAGCAGUCGGGAAUUUUGGGCGAUGGGCGAAAGCCUGACCCAGCAACGCCGCGUGAAGGAUGAAGUAUUUCGGUAUGUAAACUUCGAAAGAAUGGGAAGAAUAAAUGACGGUACCAUUUAUAAGGUCCGGCUAACUACGUGCCAGCAGCCGCGGUAAUACGUAGGGACCAAGCGUUGUUCGGAUUUACUGGGCGUAAAGGGCGCGUAGGCGGCCCUACAAGUCACUUGUGAAAUCUCCGGGCUUAACUCGGAAUGGCCAAGUGAAACUGUAAGGCUAGAGUGCAGAAGGGGCAAUCGGAAUUCUUGGUGUAGCGGUGAAAUGCGUAGAUAUCAAGAGGAACACCUAAGGUGAAGACGGGUUGCUGGGCUGACACUGACGCUGAGGCGCGAAAGCCAGGGGAGCAAACGGGAUUAGAUACCCCGGUAGUCCUGGCCCUAAACGAUGAAUACUUGGUG